CUCUCGCUACUAAGACUUAUGUGGAGCUAAAGGUAACUCAAGGAUACAACAUACUUACCUUGCAUAUAUUGCCUAGUCAAACCGGGAUCCUCGAUGAGGAAACCAUAGCCUUAGAUCAAGAUGUGCAUGUGUGGUUUAAAAUGAAUAUUUAUAGUAGAGAAUAUUUAUGGAGAGGAAGGGUGAAAGAGUUACUCUACAGUGCUCAUUUACAAAAGUACCUCUCUUGGUAUGAUUUUUUUUGAGGAACAGGGGCUUUAUCUUUAUUUCUUUCUUUCUUUCUUUCCCUUUUUUUAAAUAAGAACAUAAUAGCCUAAUUUCUAAUGAAAAGUUCUUUGAGAGGAUAAACAAUAAAUUAGAGCACUUGUUUUUGGGUGUUUGGCUAGCAAUCAAGGAAAAACCUAUGGCAAAGUAUUUUUGGUGUUUACUCCGAGUGUAGGAGCAGAACAUUUUUGAGUGGAUCUAAAUAGGUCAAUAUGGUGGUGCGUCCUUCCAGGAUAGAAAUAGCAAGGGGUGCAAAGUGUAAUCUUCUUGAUCUUGGGAGCAUGAUUAACCUUUCAACAAGAGUCUAACACAAGUUGACUAAACUCAAUACAAAACAAGUACCUUAUGAGCUAGUUUUCUUAUUAUAGUAAAUGUAUGGCUAUGGUAGGAAUUAAAGGUCUCAUCAUACAUGAACUCAUCAUGUGAUAAUUUUAUGUUUUCACAAUAUAAAUCUCUAGAUUUCAAGUAUCUCUUGGAAUAAGAUGAUAGUAGCUCAGACUUUCAAUAUCACAUCCACCAAUUACUUAGACUU
Molecule: long non-coding RNA, 793 nt
Filed under: Sorghum bicolor (sorghum)
Lineage: Eukaryota; Viridiplantae; Streptophyta; Magnoliopsida; Poales; Poaceae
Description: long non-coding RNA (SBIC_LNC010178)
Source: RNAcentral